This 405-nucleotide ribosomal RNA is filed under the name uncultured bacterium. RNAcentral describes it as "bacterial SSU rRNA". It matches the Rfam family "Bacterial small subunit ribosomal RNA", at positions 355 to 775 of the family's 1533-position model. The record is from RNAcentral.
CGAGGAAUUUUGCGCAAUGGGCGAAAGCCUGACGCAGCAACGCCGCGUGGGUGAGGAAGGCCUUCGGGUCGUAAAGCCCUUUUGUCGGGGACGAAUUGGUGACGGUACCCGACGAAGAAGCCACGGCUAACUACGUGCCAGCAGCCGCGGUAAUACGUAGGUGGCGAGCGUUGUCCGGAUUUAUUGGGCGUAAAGGGCGCGCAGGCGGUGCGGUAAGACUGCCGUGAAAUCUCCCGGCUCAACUGGGAGGGGGCGGUGGAGACUGCCGGACUGGAGGGACCUAGAGGCCGGUGGAAUUCCCGGUGUAGUGGUGAAAUGCGUAGAGAUCGGGAGGAACACCAGUGGCGAAGGCGGCCGGCUGGGGGUACCCUGACGCUGAGGCGCGAAAGCGUGGGGAGCGAACCG